Molecule: ribosomal RNA, 427 nt
Filed under: uncultured bacterium
Lineage: Bacteria
Description: bacterial SSU rRNA
Rfam family: Bacterial small subunit ribosomal RNA
Source: RNAcentral
UGAGGAAUCUUGCACAAUGGGCGAAAGCCUGAUGCAGCGACGCCGCGUGGAGGAUGAAGGUCUUCGGUUUGUAAACUCCUGUUAAACGGGAAGAAAGAUCUGUUUCUAAUACAAGCAGAUUAUGACGGUACCGUUAGAGAAAGCACCGGCUAACUUCGUGCCAGCAGCCGCGGUAAUACGAGGGGUGCAAGCGUUAUUCGGAUUGAUUGGGUGUAAAGGGUGUGCAGACGGCUUAUUAAGUCACUUGUUAAAUUCUUCGGCCUAACUGAAGGUCUGCAAGUGAUACUGAUGAGCUAGAGGGUGGAAGAGAGAAGUGGAAUUCUCGGAGUAGCGGUAAAAUGCGUAGAUCUCGAGAGGAACACCAAUGGCGAAGGCAGCUUCUUGGUCCAUUCCUGACGUUCAUACACGAAAGCGUGGGGAGCAAACA